Long non-coding RNA from Pseudoliparis swirei, 907 nucleotides. RefSeq lists it as uncharacterized. The record is from RefSeq and is a predicted model, not a curated record. The transcript has 2 exons. NCBI's taxonomy places the organism in Eukaryota, Metazoa, Chordata, Actinopteri, Perciformes, Liparidae.
UAAAGCAAAAAAAAUUCCGGACACUCGUAAAGACUGUAGUUUACAAGGCAGAGGAGAGCUCAAAGAAAGCCUCUGGGAUGUUGAAGUUAGGCUCCAAAAACACAACUCUAAGGGCAGAGGAAACCAGCUGUAAACACAGCAUUGACAUGUCACCAUCUUUUAAGUUGAUAUGGUGAACGUGUCAGCAACAAAAACUAUAGCCCCGUCUGCUCUGCUGUGGUUCUUGUCCUGUUGGCCUCCUCUACACUCCAGAUUCCCUUCGGACCAGCUCGGCUUCGUUUCCCUCCGUGGAGGUCUGGCUCUGCGAGACAAAUCUUGACAUAAAAUGUAUUAAAACCCUUUGAAAGGGCAGAACAUAUGGCAUGACGUCCAUUUGAAUGAGCAUAGCACCUGUUGUCUAUUCCAUCAGUAUUCUCCAUUGCUCGCAAAUAAAAUCUCCUUGCUCUUGGAGUCUUUGAGAGAAUGACCCUACACAAUUAAGAAUAUGUCCUGCUCCUUUCAUACAUGGGUAAACCUUGAAAGAGGUAGUUAUUCCUCUGCUGUUUCCUUUUUCUUUCUUUUUUAAGUUUCGUAUUGAUUAAUCAAGAUUGUCUUGUGUGAAUGUUGGACUUGUUUUUAUGUUGAUGUUCUGUUUUCAUGUUGUUUCUAUCUUUCAUUCUUUUAUCUGUUAUUUUAUUGUAAGGUGAGUGUGGGUUACUUGAAAGGCGUCUCCAAGUGAAAUGUAUUAUUAUUAUUAUUAUCCUCACAGCCCUUCCUUUUACUGUCGCUCUGCACGUCUCUGGCUGAUGAGUGACAAACAUGUUGUUGAUGGUUCACCUUCAAACACAGAGGGACUCUUCAGUGUGUUGAGAAAACGAGCCAUGAAUAAUGAAAUAAUAAUAAUGUAAUUAAAAUGUAAUGUAAUUGA